CAAACGAAACAAUGCGUGGCGCCAUGUGUUCGCGCCGGGCCAGAUGUCACCAUAGUCGGUUUCUUGAUCAACUAGGUUAGUUGUCGCGUAUCGUAUUGGCAACGACGUGGAACAUUUUCUUUCAGUCACAUUCACUUUCUUGCAAUUUGCGUGAUAUUUAUUCAUGGUUGCAUUCUUUUAAAGGUUUUGUUCAUUUUUUUUGGCUUGAUUGUGGGUAGUUGACUUUUUUGUAAAGUAUCGAGCAGAUUAUCAAUUCGGGAGCAAAAAAGAACACGAUCGUCCUGAGGCAGGUAAUAAUAAUAAUAAAUAAAUAAAAGGUGGGUGGUAAAUUUUCGUGAAAAUAGAACUGCAUGCAUAUAUAAUCAUGUAUAAAUAGAUACUUAAUAAAGGCAAUGAAAAAUUUAUACGUAAUAAGUUUUAGGGCUGGAUUAUCUGCGGUAUAUAAAAGUUGGAGUAUGUUGAAGCUGAAUAUUUUAAGCGAUUUGUGUAUAGUGCUGAAUAUAAUGAGAUUAAUGUAGCAAAUAUCAAAUAUCAAAAUAUGGUAGAACACAUACAACAAGCUGCAUAGAUGCAUUUGAUAUUUGUAUAUAUAUAUAUAUAUAUUCAUUUAUCCCUAAGGAAUUGCGUAUGGGGUCAUGAUUCGUUCUUGGAGGAUCCAUAUAUUCCCCCAUGAGAAUUAAAAGUCAGAUGAUAUCCAAUGGACAAACGAUCGUGUCGUCGUUCUGGAGAGCGAUCAAAGCCGUGUAUAAUUCCGGCUACGCGCACCAUGCCACCAUUCUCGUUCCUUCGGCGACUUGGGGAUCAAACAUUACCUGGGUGCUGAUCCUCCAAGUACGAGCAUAGCAAGGUGGCAGGCACAGUCGUCACUACUAGUAAAAAAAAAAAAAAAGAAAACAAAGAAGAAAAGAAUCUGAAAUCAUAGUGAAUUGUAUAUAAAAGGAAACGUAAAACAAUUUGAAUCGAAUUGAAAAAAUCGAAAAGAGAAAAACGGAUAUAUAUAUAUAUUUUUUUAUCUAUAUAUAUAUGUAUAUAUGUAUAUAUAUAUAUAUAUAUGUAGAUCAAUCUCGAACACACCGACAUUUGGUGGCGAGCGCGUAUGCAAGACUGAAUAACGGAAAACAAAGAAAAAUAGUAAAGAAAAAAAAAAAUAAAAAUAUGGACGGUCUCGCGACAGAAAGAUCAGCGCGAUACAGCGACGCAAUGCCGAAUUCUGUCUCUCUUUACUUGGAUUUUUUUCAUUCUUAUUGCUCUGUCAGCGAUGUUUAUUUUAUCGCGCCAUAUUUCUUUUCCUCCCGCGCGCGCGACAUUCAAACGUAUCAAACGACUUUCCUCUUUUCUGCCUUCUCUUUUUUCAUCUUCUCAUUAUUUUGAAAACUUUUAUUCCUUAUGUUUAUUUAUUUUAGAUACUCGUUCGUUUCCUGUUCAAGAAUAUAAUAAUAAAUGAACAAUUUAAUCAGAAAUGAUUUCAUUUUCUCUUUUUUUCUUUCAUUUUCUUUCUCUUUUCAAAAAUUUAACUCACGAAUUAAUCCACCAAUAUUAAAUUGAAAAGAAAUCUUUUGCAGUCUUCUGAUUUAUGAGAAAUUAUUACUGGCUUUAGCAUGAACCACGGACGGAUAAGGACGAAUCGAUUUUUCUUCAAAAGAGGGUUUCUGUCGUGUUCUGUUAUGAGAUUAUAACUUUCGGUGGGUUAGAUAGCACGGAUCGGUUAAAGACAGACACAGGGCUUUGGUGUAACGGGGUUAUUGGCACAUUGUAGACAGGUGAUAACAGACGUAGACAAGGGACAAGGGAGGGAUUGGUCGUUCAGGUCCUUCGUAUCAUAUCAUGUAUCAUAAAGCUGUGUAUUGAACGGUUCCGAUUUCGUAAUUAUUGCCGAUCCGUCGAUUCGGAACAAUACAUUAUAACUUGUUUUUUUUUUCUCAUUCUCAUUUUCAUCGUCAUCGUUUUACAUUUGAUUUUAUUUUAUAUAUCACGAUUAUUAGAUCUCUUCCACCGCUUGUGUAUAAAUAUCUAUUAUGCAUAAAUAAAAAUGUUAUAUGAUGA
Molecule: long non-coding RNA, 2043 nt
Organism: Apis cerana (Asiatic honeybee)
Lineage: Eukaryota; Metazoa; Arthropoda; Insecta; Hymenoptera; Apidae
Source: RefSeq, a predicted model, not a curated record